This 464-nucleotide ribosomal RNA is filed under the name uncultured Rhodocyclaceae bacterium. RNAcentral describes it as "partial 16S ribosomal RNA". It matches the Rfam family "Bacterial small subunit ribosomal RNA", at positions 338 to 794 of the family's 1533-position model. The record is from RNAcentral. Lineage: Bacteria; Pseudomonadati; Pseudomonadota; Betaproteobacteria; Rhodocyclales; Rhodocyclaceae.
CCUACGGGAGGCAGCAGUGGGGAAUUUUGGACAAUGGGGGAAACCCUGAUCCAGCCAUUCCGCGUGAGUGAAGAAGGCCUUCGGGUUGUAAAGCUCUUUCGGCAGGAACGAAACGGCGGACUCUAACAUAGUCUGUCAAUGACGGUACCUGAAGAAGAAGCACCGGCUAACUACGUGCCAGCAGCCGCGGUAAUACGUAGGGUGCGAGCGUUAAUCGGAAUUACUGGGCGUAAAGCGUGCGCAGGCGGCUUUGUAAGACGGAUGUAAAAUCCCUGGGCUUAACCUAGGAACUGCGUUCGUGACUGCAAAGCAAGAGUGCGGCAGAGGGGGGUGAAAUUCCUGGUGUAGCAGCAAAAUGCGUAGAGAUCAGGAGGAACACCGGUGGCGAAGGCGGCUCUCUGGACUAAUACUGACGCUGAGGCGCGAAAGCUAGGGGAGCAAACGGGAUUAGAUCCCCUUGUAUU